CCCUAUGGGGCGCAGCAGGCUGAUUUUCCGCAAAUUCCCUGGAAACGGUUGCUUAUUUGGGGAUUUUCCGCGGCAGUUCCGGUGGUUGUUUCUGUCGGAAUCUUAUUGUAUUAUAACUAUAUCCGUUUCGAGGAUUGGUUUGAUUUUGGUUAUGUAACGAACAACGGAGCGGACUGGAUUUUGGAAGCUGUGCAAAAAUAUGGGAUGUUCAACCUUCAUUUUUUCAGGAAUAAUCUGGAUGUGAUGAUUUUUCGGCGUCCGCGGCUGGAUUUCUCCGGGGAACGUUUCUUCUUUCAGCCGGGAAUAUCCGGAUUCAGCAUAUUUAUCAUGACCCCGCCGUUUAUCUAUUUAUUCCGCAGAAUAAAAAAGAACUGGUGGAUGAUCGGAGC
RNAcentral lists this ribosomal RNA (389 nucleotides) under uncultured prokaryote. Its description in RNAcentral is "partial 16S ribosomal RNA". The record is from RNAcentral.